CAGGAUUAGAUACCCUGGUAGUCCACGCUGUAAACGAUGUCGAUUUGGAGUUUGUUGCCUAGAGUGAUGGGCUCCGAAGCUAACGCGAUAAAUCGACCGCCUGGGGAGUACGGCCGCAAGGUUAAAACUCAAAUGAAUUGACGGGGGCCCGCACAAGCGGUGGAGCAUGUGGUUUAAUUCGAUGCAACGCGAAGAACCUUACCUGGUCUUGACAUCCAUAGAAUUCUGCAGAGAUGUGGGAGUGCCUUCGGGAACUAUGAGACAGGUGCUGCAUGGCUGUCGUCAGCUCGUGUUGUGAAAUGUUGGGUUAAGUCCCGCAACGAGCGCAACCCUUAUUCUUUGUUGCCAGCGAUUUGGUCGGGAACUCAAAGGAGACUGCCGUUGAUAAAGCGGAGGAAGGUGGGGACGACGUCAAGUCAUCAUGGCCCUUACGACCAGGGCUACACACGUGCUACAAUGGCGUAUACAAAGGGAAGCGAGGGUGCGAGCUGGAGCGGAUCUCAUAAAGUACGUCUAAGUUCGGAUUGGAGUCUGCAACUCGACUCCAUGAAGUCGGAAUCGCUAGUAAUCGUAGAUCAGAAUGCUACGGUGAAUACGUUCCCGGGCCUUGUACACACCGCCCGUCACACCAUGGGAGUGGGUUGCACCAGAAGUAGAUAGCUUAACCGCGAGGGGGGCGUUUACCACGGUGUGAUUCAUGACUGGGGUGAAGUCGUAACAAGGUAACCA
RNAcentral lists this ribosomal RNA (729 nucleotides) under uncultured Enterobacteriaceae bacterium. Its description in RNAcentral is "bacterial SSU rRNA". It matches the Rfam family "Bacterial small subunit ribosomal RNA", at positions 773 to 1502 of the family's 1533-position model. Lineage: Bacteria; Pseudomonadati; Pseudomonadota; Gammaproteobacteria; Enterobacterales; Enterobacteriaceae. The record is from RNAcentral.